UCUAAACGACUCUCGGCAACGGAUAUCUCGGCUCUCGCAUCGAUGAAGAACGUAGCGAAAUGCGAUACUUGGUGUGAAUUGCAGAAUCCCGUGAACCAUCGAGUCUUUGAACGCAAGUUGCGCCCGAAGCCUUCAGGCCGAGGGCACGCCUGCCUGGGCGUCAC
This 164-nucleotide ribosomal RNA is filed under the name Veronica armena. RNAcentral's name for it is "5.8S ribosomal RNA". It matches the Rfam family "5.8S ribosomal RNA". Rfam says of the family: 5.8S ribosomal RNA (5.8S rRNA) is a component of the large subunit of the eukaryotic ribosome. It is transcribed by RNA polymerase I as part of the 45S precursor that also contains 18S and 28S rRNA. Lineage: Eukaryota; Viridiplantae; Streptophyta; Magnoliopsida; Lamiales; Plantaginaceae. The record is from RNAcentral. RNAcentral also lists the same sequence under 5 other names.